AACGCUGGCGGAAUGCUUUACACAUGCAAGUCGAACGGCAGCAUGGAGGAGCUUGCUCCUCUGAUGGCGAGUGGCGAACGGGUGAGUAAAGCAUCGGAACGUACCGUGUAGUGGGGGAUAACGUAGCGAAAGUUACGCUAAUACCGCAUACGCACUGAGGUGGAAAGCAGGGGAUCGCAAGACCUUGCGCUAUACGAGCGGCCGAUGUCAGAUUAGCUAGUUGGUAGGGUAAAGGCCUACCAAGGCGACGAUCUGUAGCGGGUCUGAGAGGAUGAUCCGCCACACUGGGACUGAGACACGGCCCAGACUCCUACGGGAGGCAGCAGUGGGGAAUUUUGGACAAUGGGGGAAACCCUGAUCCAGCCAUGCCGCGUGAGUGAAGAAGGCCUUCGGGUUGUAAAGCUCUUUCGGCUGGGAAGAAAUCGCACAGGCUAAUACUCUGUGUGGAUGACGGUACCAGCAUAAGAAGCACCGGCUAACUACGUG
Molecule: ribosomal RNA, 486 nt
Filed under: uncultured bacterium
Lineage: Bacteria
Description: bacterial SSU rRNA
Rfam family: Bacterial small subunit ribosomal RNA
Source: RNAcentral